Wasmannia auropunctata (little fire ant) is the source of this 474-nucleotide long non-coding RNA. RefSeq lists it as uncharacterized. Lineage: Eukaryota; Metazoa; Arthropoda; Insecta; Hymenoptera; Formicidae. The transcript has 2 exons. The record is from RefSeq and is a predicted model, not a curated record.
CGUCGGGACGGCGUGCGGUGCGGUCAUUCCGCUUAGCUCCUCCGGAGAGAGAGCCGGUCGCGCGCGUACACACGUUCGGCACCGUCGUCAGGUGAUCCACUCCGGGCGCGGUGACAGCGUGCACCUGGCACACCUCGAGUGGUGCCGCAGCCGCAGCUGCCGAGCGUCGGGAAUAAUCCGCUACGACCCGUGAUACCAUGAUACGCUCCUGCAUCCCGAGCGGGCGAUCGCGCGUGAACGUCAACUUCGUCAUCGACAUCGAGGCGUGGUGACGCGACGUCGGCCGACGAUCUCAGUACGCCGGCAACGGGCGUCGCGAUUACAGCCUCGUGCCGUAACGCGUGGAUCCUCCCGGAAGGAGGUCGCCUCCCCCGCCUGAGAGAGACAGAGAGAGAGAGAGAAGAAGGGUGUACCAAAGGGGUGCGAAGAGGACAAAAACAAGAAGACGCGGAGGAGCAGAUGAAAAACUGGAGG